This is a long non-coding RNA of Ziziphus jujuba (common jujube), 464 nucleotides long. RefSeq lists it as uncharacterized. The transcript has 2 exons. Lineage: Eukaryota; Viridiplantae; Streptophyta; Magnoliopsida; Rosales; Rhamnaceae. The record is from RefSeq and is a predicted model, not a curated record.
UUGGAGAACGCUCAACUUUUAUGGACUGCUUCAAGAUCUAUUAAGACAGACAAAUACUUAGUUUUCUCCUGAACUGUGCAGGGAUCUUGAUGGGAAAGUAACUGCUGAAGGAAGUUGAAAUUGCUGCAAUGUACUUGAAAAAUGCAUCAGGCAAGGAGGGUGUCCAGGAACUCAUUAGCAAUCUUUCCAAGAUGGGAAGAUUCUUGCAGAAGAUGUUGUCAAAUUGGGAAGUGGGACAGAAGAUACCAACACAGCUUAAGAAGGAAUGUAGAGGCUCAUAUUGUGCGUGUUGGCAUAUGCUAAUUUUGUAAAAUCAAUGCUGAUAGAUAUAUAAAGAGGAAUAUACCUAGGUAAAAAAAAUAGAAAAAACAACAUUAUGGGGCCUUCUUGUUGUUUAGGCUUCCUAACUUGUUAAUUACAAAUCCAAUAUUAGAUUUACAAAUUAUUAGAUUGAAAUAAAGGAA